AGCGGCGGACGGGUGAGUAAUGCUUGGGAAUCUGCCCAAUAGUGGGGGAUAACGUGUGGAAACGCACGCUAAUACCGCGUACGUCCUACGGGAGAAAGCAGGGGAUCUUCGGACCUUGCGCUAUUGGAUGAGCCCAAGUCAGAUUAGCUAGUUGGUGGGGUAAUGGCUCACCAAGGCGACGAUCUGUAGCUGGUCUGAGAGGAUGAUCAGCCACACUGGGACUGAGACACGGCCCAGACUCCUACGGGAGGCAGCAGUGGGGAAUAUUGCACAAUGGGCGAAAGCCUGAUGCAGCCAUGCCGCGUGUGUGAAGAAGGCUCUAGGGUCGUAAAGCACUUUCAGUAGGGAGGAAAAGCUUAAGAUUAAUAAUCUUGAGCCUUGACGUUACUUACAGAAGAAGCACCGGCAAACUCCGUGCCAGCAGCCGCGGUAAUACGGAGGGUGCGAGCGUUAAUCGGAAUUACUGGGCGUAAAGCGCGCGUAGGUGGUUUGAUAAGCUAGCUGUGAAAGCCCCGGGCUCAACCUGGGAACUGCAGUUAGAACUGUCUGGCUAGAGUAUAGUAGAGGGUGGCGGAAUUUCCUGUGUAGCGGUGAAAUGCGUAGAUAUAGGAGGAUCAUCAGUGGCGAAGGCGGCCACCUGGACUAUACUGACACUGAAGUGCCGAAGCGUGGGAGCAAACAGGAUUAGAUACCCUGGUUGUCAACGGAG
RNAcentral lists this ribosomal RNA (709 nucleotides) under uncultured bacterium. RNAcentral's name for it is "bacterial SSU rRNA". It matches the Rfam family "Bacterial small subunit ribosomal RNA", at positions 94 to 802 of the family's 1533-position model. The record is from RNAcentral.